Long non-coding RNA from Myodes glareolus (Bank vole), 445 nucleotides. RefSeq lists it as uncharacterized. The record is from RefSeq and is a predicted model, not a curated record. NCBI's taxonomy places the organism in Eukaryota, Metazoa, Chordata, Mammalia, Rodentia, Cricetidae.
CUGAACCGUGGGACCUGGAUGUAAAGUAUAAAGAACAGCAUAACAGGGAAAGAGGCCACAGCAUCAGAUGUGCAGAUGCCUCGACAGGAAGUGAGGAGGAAGAACAGGGCUGUGUGACAGAAGACAGCACAUGCAGAGGGGCGUGAAAGACUCGGUAUGAAGGUUGCGUGUGUCCUUGGGAAAAUCAGAGAGAGGUAAAGAAAGAAGAAAAGAAGAACCAGGGGAGCUAAAUGAGGAAAGACAAAGGAAUGAGCUGUUCAGGGCAGCAGUCAGACUGGGAGAGUCCAGCAGCCAGGACCCACAGCAGGCCACAGUACUCACUUCCAAAGAACAUGAAGAGGACAAAGAGCACUGGGUAGAAAUAGCUCAAGCAGACAGCGAGGGCAUAUUCAUGCACGACCGCGGACAAGGCAAAGACAGCCAACAUGGCGGCAGACUUGAACCU